AUUGCAAUUCAUUCAUUAUGACAUCUAUGAUCCUAUAAGUGUUAGAGUAAGGCAUGAUGUCUUGUACUUCAUCACAUUUAUAGAUGACUUUACUUGUUAUAGUCAUGUGUAUGAGUUGGGAUGGGACAUGGUAUACUAAUAAUGGUGAAUGAGUGACAAAUAUAUAAAGAUAAUAUGUGUUGCCUUGAUUAAGUAUUAAGAUAAGGUCUAUAACAAAUGACAUUUUGACCAAAUAUAGCUGCCCAUAAUUACAUUUACCUAUUUAAAUUGGACUUGAGUUCAAGCAUAAAGGGUUUAAUGAAAACUAUAGAUGCAAAACUCGGGUAAGCUAUAAGUGUGAAGCUCUUAGUUAAGGUUCGUAUGAUGGUAGUUUGACAUAUACUCUCCAAGUAAAGAGAACCACCAUAACAUGUAUUUCAUACUACAUGUGUUUGAAUGUGACUAAUAAGAAAAGUGAGUGAUUAAUCCUUGCAUUUUCAUUGUAUGAGACUUUCAGGGCUUAUUACAACUAUAAUAGCCCAUUAUUGUAUUUUUUUUGUAUUUUGGCUAUGUUUUGAGGUGAUAAAUUAAUACUGCUACUUUGAUAUGUUUU
This 592-nucleotide long non-coding RNA is filed under the name Vitis vinifera (wine grape). RNAcentral's name for it is "long non-coding RNA (VVIN_LNC001090)". The record is from RNAcentral. Lineage: Eukaryota; Viridiplantae; Streptophyta; Magnoliopsida; Vitales; Vitaceae.